Molecule: long non-coding RNA, 2507 nt
Filed under: Carica papaya (papaya)
Lineage: Eukaryota; Viridiplantae; Streptophyta; Magnoliopsida; Brassicales; Caricaceae
Description: long non-coding RNA (CPAP_LNC001429)
Source: RNAcentral
CAUGAUGAGAUCACUCAAAAAAAUUAAGUCUUUAUUUUAAUAAGAUUUUUGAAAUUUAAAAUUAAAGUAAUUAGGAAUUUUUUUUAUCUUUUGCCUUUCUAAAUUUUUUUGUCUUUCCAGAUUAUAUAUCCAAAUUUUAUAUGAAGUAUAAAAACUCAUCUUUAUAGUUAAGUAAAGGAAAAGACCUUUGGAUCUAAUACAAUAAAAUAAUGCGUGCAUUACAAUAUUGAUUAAUAGGAUUUUUUGAUUCGUUCUUCUCUUCCUUUUAUCGAGUGCUAUAUAAUUACAUCUUUGUCGAUGACUGGCUAUGUUGUGAAAGAAUCUGGUGUUCUAUCACCUGAAUCUGGCCUUCCUGUAACCUUCUUUCAUCCACAAUCCUUUGAUUUCUACCUCCAUUCAAUCUCUUCCAUCAAGAAAAAGUUUGCCACCUCUAGUCGAAAGGUAGCCUUCUUUCUUUCUCUUCUUGUGUUAACCUGUCCAUCCUUCUACUUGAUCUAGCCUUUCCAAGUCUCCAAGCAAGAAAUCCCUUCUGGUUAAAGUCCCCUCAAGCUAAGCUUUACUCCAUUGUUUAAUCUUUGACUUCAAAUAGCUCAACCUUUUGCAACUCUAUAACUUGAAUGUCUCUACAACUGUCUCAUCCCACCACUCCUUUACUUUGUCUUGGAAGUCUGACCACUUGAACCAUUUAUUUCCAAAUCUAAAGGGGCACAACCACCAAGCAAUACUAUUUUGCUCCAACAAUUUAGAAAAGUGACUUGACGUGACUCGAUGUAGUAGCUUACGGACCAUGUUUGGUUAAGUGUGCUGCAAAGAGUUUGAUACUAAGAAUUGGCGAAUUCUAGAGAAACCUGGACACUCCUGAGAGUUUAACCAAGUCUAUUUGCCACCAAUUACCGGCAAAUCCAUUAGAUCACAUCUAUCCAUAAUUGUUUUAAACUCCUUCAUACAAGCUCUCAAGAAAUUUUCUCUCGAUCUUUCAUGAGAAUUGAGAAUCAUAUUGAAGUCACCUCCUAUCACCCAUGAGAUAUCCCAUCUACUUCUGCCAUUCUUCAAGAUCCCUUCACAGAAGUCCCAGCACCCUUUCCUCCCUUUUUACAUAAAUUCUCGUAACACCCAUCUGAUCUAACUUCGAAUACACGUGAAAUUGUCAUUUGCCUCUGAAUUCGUUUUCUUUCUUUAUCAUUCCACAUGACAACAGUGCCACCUGCCACCCUAUUAGCUGAUAAUCCCCUCCAACCCACCUCUCUAAAUUUCUGUACUUUGUACCAGAUUAAUUAAGCCUCUAUAUUUGUCUUGUGAAGACAAACUACAUAUUGUUUCCACCUUGACAAGCACCCUCUAAUUGCUACUCGCUUCUCACCUUCAUUUAAUCCCCUAGUUCAUGAAAUUAUUCUACUAAUCAUCGUAAUUUUGAUGAUUGCUCCACCCUUAUCCCCAUUCCGUUCCUCGUUGAUUUUUUCAUAAUAUAUCGAGGAAUGUAGUCUCCUUAGCUCCCCCUGUCCAGCACUGGUCUCUUCCCCAUUAGUGUCGCUAGAGCUGUAUUACUUGCCUUCUCCCUUCUUUUACCUUCUAGAGUCCUAAAUAAUUUUAGAGCUUGGUCCUUCAACCCCGCAAAACUCAUUGCCAAAGUUUACUAAUUCUUCAGAUAUUAUUGAAGACCCAUUUUGAAACUUCACCUCCCUCCUCUUCAUCUUUCUCCACCCCCAUUGUAGCAACUCUCCUUCUCAUUGACCCCUCCUUUUCCUUUCUUCCUCUUUUCUUUCUUCUCCAUAUUUUACUAUAGAUAGAGGUUUUAUCAUUUCUGGACAACCCUCAUAGAUUGACAGACAAUCUUCCCUCCUUUUAUCCCAGAACUUCCUGGCAGCACAGUAAUAGAAACCACUCCAUACUCCCUAUUCAGCCCACCUUGCUGCUUGCCCCCAAUUUUUUUUUUUUAUAAAUAAAAUAAGUAUAUUAUUAUAAACAAGGUACUAAAGAGGUAUUGCCUGUAUACAAAAUAAUUACAUAUCUAUCAAGUAGUCAAUAAUCAUCCCAAUCUCUUCUAAGUCUCUCAUGUCAUGACUAAGCAAAAUAGAGCUAAUCCAUUUAUAUAUAAUGUUUACAACAUCUUCCAGAGUUAAGGGGCCAAAAACAGGUCACCUACUUCCCCUUUCCCCUGCACAUGCCUUACUAGAAGAUAUGGCUAGAAGCCCAGCCUCAUGGUCCUCUUCGUGCGACUUCACUCUGUCCUUCUCCAUGAUAGCCACUCCUCUUUCCACCUCGAGAUUGCUGACAGAGACUGUCAGAAAUUCAACCAACCUCCUACAUGGCCAUGAGGGCCCUCUCCUUUUCUAUGAUUUCCUCUUCUCCUUCCACCUGCCGAACCCGAAAAAUCAGCUUCCUCUUGCCCUGGAUGUUGCUUCUCUAUUAAACAAUGGGCUUGGGUAACUUCCUUCUUGGGCCGGCUUUAUUCUGUAUAACAGCCUUGUUUAAGCCUGUUUGGUGAAUAGGUCUAGACUGGGUAAAUU